AGAGUUUGAUCCUGGCUCAGGACGAACGCUGGCGGCGUGCCUAACACAUGCAAGUCGAACGGGGUAGCAAUACCCAGUGGCGAACGGGUGCGUAACACGUGAAGAAUUUGUCCAACGGUGGGGGAUAGCCGGCCCAACGGCCGGGUAAUACCGCGUACGACCUUCGGGGGGCAUCCUCUGGGGGUGAAAGUCGCAAGACGCCGAUGGAGAACUUCGCGGCCUAUCAGCUAGUUGGUGAGGUAAUGGCUCACCAAGGCGACGACGGGUAGCUGGUCCGAGAGGAUGACCAGCCACAUUGGGACUGAUACACGGCCCAGACUCCUACGGGAGGCAGCAGUGGGGAAUAUUGCGCAAUGGGCGAAAGCCUGACGCAGCGACGCCGCGUGUGGGAUGACGGCCUUCGGGUUGUAAACCACUGUCGGGAGGGACGAAGAUCUGACGGUACCUCCAAAGGAAGCACCGGCUAACUCUGUGCCAGCAGCCGCGGUAAUACAGAGGGUGCGAGCGUUGUCCGGAAUCACUGGGCGUAAAGGGCGCGUAGGUGGCUUGGUAAGUAGGGGGUGAAAUCUCGUGGCUCAACCGCGAGACGGCCUCCUAGACUGUCAGGCUCGAGCAGAGUAGAGGCAGGUGGAAUUCCCGGUGUAGCGGUGGAAUGCGUA
Molecule: ribosomal RNA, 659 nt
Filed under: uncultured bacterium
Lineage: Bacteria
Description: bacterial SSU rRNA
Rfam family: Bacterial small subunit ribosomal RNA
Source: RNAcentral